GGGGAUGUAGCUCAAGUGGUAGAGCGCUCGCUUAGCAUGUGAGAGGCACGGGGAUCGAUGCCCCGCAUCUCCA
Molecule: transfer RNA, 73 nt
Filed under: Penaeus monodon (black tiger shrimp)
Lineage: Eukaryota; Metazoa; Arthropoda; Malacostraca; Decapoda; Penaeidae
Description: tRNA-Ala
Rfam family: tRNA
About the family: Transfer RNA (tRNA) molecules are approximately 80 nucleotides in length. Their secondary structure includes four short double-helical elements and three loops (D, anti-codon, and T loops). Further hydrogen bonds mediate the characteristic L-shaped molecular structure. tRNAs have two regions of fundamental functional importance: the anti-codon, which is responsible for specific mRNA codon recognition, and the 3' end, to which the tRNAs corresponding amino acid is attached (by aminoacyl-tRNA synthetases). tRNAs cope with the degeneracy of the genetic code in two manners: having more than one tRNA (with a specific anti-codon) for a particular amino acid; and 'wobble' base-pairing, i.e. permitting non-standard base-pairing at the 3rd anti-codon position.
Source: RNAcentral